GCCAAUUUAGCUCAGCUGGUAGAGCAACGCAUUCGUAAUGCGUAGGUCGCGAGUUCAAGUCUCGCAAUUGGCUC
RNAcentral lists this transfer RNA (74 nucleotides) under Odoribacter splanchnicus. RNAcentral describes it as "tRNA-Thr(cgt)". It matches the Rfam family "tRNA". From Rfam's summary of the family: Transfer RNA (tRNA) molecules are approximately 80 nucleotides in length. Their secondary structure includes four short double-helical elements and three loops (D, anti-codon, and T loops). Further hydrogen bonds mediate the characteristic L-shaped molecular structure. tRNAs have two regions of fundamental functional importance: the anti-codon, which is responsible for specific mRNA codon recognition, and the 3' end, to which the tRNAs corresponding amino acid is attached (by aminoacyl-tRNA synthetases). tRNAs cope with the degeneracy of the genetic code in two manners: having more than one tRNA (with a specific anti-codon) for a particular amino acid; and 'wobble' base-pairing, i.e. permitting non-standard base-pairing at the 3rd anti-codon position. The record is from RNAcentral. Lineage: Bacteria; Pseudomonadati; Bacteroidota; Bacteroidia; Bacteroidales; Odoribacteraceae.